AUUGAACGCUGGCGGAAUGCUUUACGCAUGCAAGUCGAACGGCAGCACGGACUUCGGUCUGGUGGCGAGUGGCGAACGGGUGAGUAAUGUAUCGGAACGUGCCCAGUCGUGGGGGAUAACGUAGUGAAAAUUACGCUAAUACCGCAUACGAUCUAUGGAUGAAAGCGGGGGAUCGCAAGACCUCGCGCGAUUGGAGCGGCCGAUAUCAGAUUAGGUAGUUGGUGGGUUAAAGGCCCACCAAGCCAACGAUCUGUAGCUGGUCUGAGAGGACGACCAGCCACACUGGAGCUGAGACACGGUCCAGACUCCUACGGGAGGCAGCAGUGGGGAAUUUUGGACAAUGGGCGAAAGCCUGAUCCAGCCAUUCCGCGUGCAGGAUGAAGGCCCUCGGGUUGUAAACUGCUUUUGUACAGAACGAAAAGGUUUCUACUAAUACUAGGAGCUCAUGACGGUACUGUAAGAAUAAGCACCGGCUAACUACGUGCCAGCCGCCGCCGUAA
This 500-nucleotide ribosomal RNA is filed under the name uncultured bacterium. Its description in RNAcentral is "partial 16S ribosomal RNA". It matches the Rfam family "Bacterial small subunit ribosomal RNA", at positions 30 to 523 of the family's 1533-position model. The record is from RNAcentral.